This 507-nucleotide ribosomal RNA is filed under the name uncultured bacterium. RNAcentral describes it as "partial 16S ribosomal RNA". It matches the Rfam family "Bacterial small subunit ribosomal RNA", at positions 28 to 507 of the family's 1533-position model. The record is from RNAcentral.
GACGAACGCUGGCGGCGUGCCUAAUACAUGCAAGUCGAACGCAUUUUCUUUCACCGUAGCUUGCUACACCGAAAGAAACUGAGUGGCGAACGGGUGAGUAACACGUGGGUAACCUGCCCAUCAGCGGGGGAUAACACUUGGAAACAGGUGCUAAUACCGCAUAAUUCCAUUUACCGCAUGGUAGAUGGGUGAAAGGCGCUUUUGCGUCACUGAUGGAUGGACCCGCGGUGCAUUAGCUAGUUGGUGGGGUAACGGCCUACCAAGGCUGCGAUGCAUAGCCGACCUGAGAGGGUGAUCGGCCACACUGGGACUGAGACACGGCCCAGACUCCUACGGGAGGCAGCAGUAGGGAAUCUUCGGCAAUGGACGCAAGUCUGACCGAGCAACGCCGCGUGAGUGAAGAAGGUUUUCGGAUCGUAAAACUCUGUUGUUAGAGAAGAACAAGGAUGAGAGUGGAAAGUUCAUCCCUUGACGGUAUCUAACCAGAAAGCCACGGCUAACUACGUG